Ictalurus punctatus (channel catfish) is the source of this 357-nucleotide non-coding RNA. The record is from the annotation of a RefSeq genome assembly. NCBI's taxonomy places the organism in Eukaryota, Metazoa, Chordata, Actinopteri, Siluriformes, Ictaluridae.
AUGGACACUCCCUAUUCAAAUAGAGUCGGGUAUAAACAGCAUGUUCUUGGCUCAUUUCAUUCCCUGACCUCCUCUGCUUCUGUGGUGAAGAGACCUGAAGAGUCAGUCACUCUGUCCUGUACUGUCUCCGGAUUCUCAAUGGGCAGCUACCACAUGCACUGGAUCCGUCAGAAACCAGGAAGAGGACUGGAGUGGAUCGGAUACAUUAAUUAUGGCACUGGCACUGGCUUCACUCAGUCUCUGCAGGGCCAGUUCUCCAUGACUAAAGACACGAAUAAAAACAUGCUGUACCUAGAAGUGAAGAGUCUGAAAGCUGAAGACACGGCUGUUUAUUACUGUACACAAGAGUCACACUGA